This 253-nucleotide ribosomal RNA is filed under the name uncultured bacterium. Its description in RNAcentral is "partial 16S ribosomal RNA". It matches the Rfam family "Bacterial small subunit ribosomal RNA", at positions 524 to 776 of the family's 1533-position model. The record is from RNAcentral.
UACGAAGGGGGCUAGCGUUGUUCGGAAUUACUGGGCGUAAAGCGCGCGUAGGCGGCGACCUUUGUCAGAGGUGAAAUCCCGAGGCUCAACUUCGGAAUUGCCUUUGAAACGGGGUUGCUUGAGUCCGAGAGAGGAUGGCGGAAUUCCUAGUGUAGAGGUGAAAUUCGUAGAUAUUAGGAAGAACACCGGUGGCGAAGGCGGCCAUCUGGCUCGGUACUGACGCUCAGGCGCGAAAGCUAGGGGAGCAAACGGG